AAUCAUGUAGGUAAGGGAAGUCGGCAAAAUGGAUCUGUAACUUUGGGAAAAAGAUUGGCUCUGAGGGCUGG
This 71-nucleotide ribosomal RNA is filed under the name Staphylococcus aureus. Its description in RNAcentral is "partial 23S ribosomal RNA". It matches the Rfam family "Eukaryotic large subunit ribosomal RNA", at positions 1894 to 1964 of the family's 3401-position model. Lineage: Bacteria; Bacillati; Bacillota; Bacilli; Caryophanales; Staphylococcaceae. The record is from RNAcentral.